CUCGCAGACAUCAUAUUACACUGGGAGAGUCGGGGUCACCAGCCUGAAAUUCCUCGCCUCAAGUUUGCACGCGAAAUCGCUAAAAUAGUAUUGAAGCGUGAGGAAGAUAAAAAGGAUAUUUUGUUCGACCUUUGGACAGAUUUUCUUAUCUACGCUGCCAACCGAUGCAACAGGGAAUCGCAUGCUAGGAAUCUGAACACUGGCGGUGAGUUCACCACCGUUGAUCUUGACAACCAUUUGAAGAAGAAAAUACCGUAG
This 258-nucleotide long non-coding RNA is filed under the name Oryza sativa tropical japonica subgroup. RNAcentral's name for it is "lncRNA OsKeNa_04g0002190". Lineage: Eukaryota; Viridiplantae; Streptophyta; Magnoliopsida; Poales; Poaceae. The record is from RNAcentral.